CAGACAGAUCGUCUUACAUGACCGGCGAAAUAUACAGAAUGUAGGGAUAAGCGCUAUCAACUAUGCAGUCGUCGUCAAGCAGCGAGUUCUAAAAAACAUCGAUUCGCCUUCGGUCCGUUAUUUUACCUACACAACACACAUAAAAAGGUGGCAUACGUGAUCAUAGGCGCGAACGGUCGCGAAACCCGAGCGUGGUGAGGGUCGUCUCCAAGAGAAGACAAAGGAAAGAAUCGAAGGGCAAUCAGUAUCACGCGAGGAGUCAAACCGAAUGCACCGGGAGGUUCAGAGAAAUAAAAUCACGGUCGCUUAGUCAAACGAAUACGUCGAGAAAUAUUAUAAAGUCGCCUCUCGCUGACGCGUUUCCUCGCGAUCGCGUCUCUUCGCGAACGAUCGUAACGAACAGAAAGGAUUAGAUUGCGUAGAAACUUCAAACAAUGAAUUGUCAACAUGAGGCAAUGAGGAAAACGAUUUUGCGUUUACACGAUACAAUUUGAUCUUUCGUAGUCGAAUAAUUUCCUAUGCAAUUCUACGCUGCUUUCGGUAAGCUGAUAUCAGCACGGUUUGCCGAGUCCAUAAAUUAAGCAACGAAUUCGAUUUGUGCUCUUUGAUAAUCCCUUCAUUGCCAUACGACAGACUUGGUCAUUAUAACUUUACCGUGCAUUUGCGUAUCGCACCAAACACAUUAUACCAUAUUGCGAUAGAGAGAUACGUUGUUAUUUCUUUAAAUGUAGCAAGCUUAUGGUUAAUGGAAACGUUCACCCAUACAUUCCCAUUUCUGCAUAUAUUGGACAUUUUAAUCACAGGUAAAAUGCUUAAUUAGCAUCUAAUAAUUACAAAAUGUGCAAUGUAAUACUUGUUAAGCAUCUAAUUCAACAUCGCAAUUAAGUGUAACAUAUGCAAACAAUACACUAAACGGUCGUUAAGGCGCAUAUUUAUUUACGAAUUGCUGUGUAUAACAUAUCCGAUCAACAGGAUGAUUGAAAGUAUUCGUCGAUAGGAAAUAAUUUUCCGUUCAAAGAGAAAGAGAGAGAGAGAGAGAUCAAUUCAUCCGAAACUCUGCUGUUUCCCUUGGGUUUUUCUCGAAAAAGAUGUUACAGAAUAACAAAUGUUCCCACGAGCUGAAUCAAGUCACCUAGCCGCGUUUCUUUGUCAUCUCAGGAAUUGCAAAGCAGACGUAAAACCGUCGCCGACGGGUUAUGGCUUAAUAGGGCCGCUUUGUACUUGUCGCGAGGGGAAGUAAAAAAAGGAGAAAACAGCUAUUCCACUCCCAGAGUGACAAGCAAAAACGAGAACGAACAGUUGGGUGAAGGAGGGGAGGGACGAAGGUCGAUAGCUGGUUAUCACAUCGCGAACAAGUGUUAGUAAAAAAGGAUCUGGCAUGAGAAGAAUCAAAGUGUAAGAGUAAAAUAUAAUUUACCUACUUUUUUUACUUUUAAUAAUCUAUGAUAUGUAUAACAUAUGUAUACAAUAGUAGGUAAUUCCAUAAGUAAUCUUGUGAUUAUAUAUAUGAUUUUAAGAUGUCAAAGGUAGUAAAAAUUUGUUGACACUGGAUCUACAAAACAUUUAAUAAAGAUAACAUGGUAAUUUUUCCAAUUAUUGUAGUAUAUUAUUCUAUUACUUCCAGCUAGAAAUUGCAGUGCUUUCUCGUUUGAUCUUACUAUGCAAAUUGAACAUGUAAAAUAAAAGCUAACAUUGCUUAUGGAAUGGCUUUUGGUAAAGUACUAUGUAUAUAUUUAGUAAAAUAUCAUGUUGUAGAAUAAAAGUAAGAUAAAGUAGAUAAUGAGUUAUGAACAUGAUAAAAGGGUAUUCUUCUGACUUAUGCCGUUAAGAUGGAUGGCAUAAUCGAGUAAAGUGGUUUUAGCUCGAUAAUCGGAUUAGCACAUUCUUUUCCCGCUUAUAUAAGUAAUAGAACAUGGCGUGCAUGUUUAAGGGAAUAAAACAAACGCCAAGAAGCUUUAGAUUACCUACAAGUACAUAAGAAAAUAAAUUUAAGGAGACUUAACGGACUAUAUCUAUAUUUUAGGAUGGAGUGUGUAAACACUAAACGUGUUUUCUGAAUAAACAAAGUACUAAGCAUCUCGCUUCUAGUCCAUUUCGAUAGCUUUUGCUUUCGUACACAGCCGAAGGUUGCUUUGAAGCAUAUAUUUUUCCCCCUCAAUUUCAGAUUCCAUUUAAAACGCACAAAGUGAUUUUGAAAUAACUUUAGAAGCAUGAGGAAACAACGUUUCUCUCUACCAAUGUUAAAUUCUAGGAAACAGUAUGUGAGAAAAUAUUAUUUUUCCCGUAUAUUAUAACUACGAUUAUUAUCGCAUAACGAAUCAAAAAAUUAAAUCAACCUUUAACUACA
Molecule: long non-coding RNA, 2347 nt
Organism: Bombus terrestris (buff-tailed bumblebee)
Lineage: Eukaryota; Metazoa; Arthropoda; Insecta; Hymenoptera; Apidae
Exons: 2
Source: RefSeq, a predicted model, not a curated record